This 450-nucleotide ribosomal RNA is filed under the name uncultured bacterium. RNAcentral's name for it is "partial 16S ribosomal RNA". It matches the Rfam family "Bacterial small subunit ribosomal RNA", at positions 354 to 796 of the family's 1533-position model. The record is from RNAcentral.
GUGGGGAAUAUUGGACAAUGGGCGAAAGCCUGAUCCAGCCAUGCCGCGUGUGUGAAGAAGGUCUUCGGAUUGUAAAGCACUUUAAGUUGGGAGGAAGGGCAGUAAGUUAAUACCUUGCUGUUUUGACGUUACCAACAGAAUAAGCACCGGCUAACUUCGUGCCAGCAGCCGCGGUAAUACGAAGGGUGCAAGCGUUAAUCGGAAUUACUGGGCGUAAAGCGCGCGUAGGUGGUUCAGCAAGUUGAAGGUGAAAUCCCCGGGCUCAACCUGGGAACUGCCUCCAAAACUACUGAGCUAGAGUACGGUAGAGGGUAGUGGAAUUCCCUGUGUAGCGGUGAAAUGCGUAGAUAUAGGAAGGAACACCAGUGGCGAAGGCGACUACCUGGACUGAUACUGACACUGAGGUGCGAAAGCGUGGGGAGCAAACAGGAUUAGAUACCCCGGUAGUCC